CGGCGGGUAGGCUAGUGGUUACGCCACGAGUUUUGGGAACUCGACAUCGGGGGUUCAAAUCCCCCCUCGCCGA
Molecule: transfer RNA, 73 nt
Filed under: Treponema sp.
Lineage: Bacteria; Pseudomonadati; Spirochaetota; Spirochaetia; Treponematales; Treponemataceae
Description: tRNA-Pro
Rfam family: tRNA
About the family: Transfer RNA (tRNA) molecules are approximately 80 nucleotides in length. Their secondary structure includes four short double-helical elements and three loops (D, anti-codon, and T loops).
Source: RNAcentral